Long non-coding RNA from Neofelis nebulosa (Clouded leopard), 1752 nucleotides. RefSeq lists it as uncharacterized. The transcript has 2 exons. The record is from RefSeq and is a predicted model, not a curated record. NCBI's taxonomy places the organism in Eukaryota, Metazoa, Chordata, Mammalia, Carnivora, Felidae.
GAGAGAGAGAGAGAGAGAGAGAAGAGAGUGGGGAGAGAGAGAGAGAGAGAGAGAUGGAGCAUAAUUAAGUGAAGGUGACUUGUGCCAUAGCCCCCCAUUCCUUUCUUUCCUGCCUCGAUGACAAGGAAUUGGUAAUGGUUGAUUUUAAAGUGGAACUCCAAAGAUCCAAUCUCCCUAAAAGCAGCGGCAGAAAGUAGAAUGGCCAUGUCCAAACUAGAGCUGAAUUUACCAAAUAAACUUUGAGUUCCAGUGGACACAUCACCACAUAUGAUUGGUAUUAUUGGCACAAGCAGACAUGUGCCAUUGGCUCUCAGUGACAGCCACCUCUCACGGCUGCUCCAGUCCAUUAACAGGAAGCUGAAAACACUGUUAUUCCUUGUCUAUAGGCUCUUCUCUCUGAUUAGCUCCUUUUAGAUAUUGAAAGGGGGAAAAUGAGGCUUGCUCUUUCUGCGUCCCAGUGAGAUCACUUAGGCAUUUAAUAAUGGAGAUUUCUUAUUACAAAAAAAAACCUUCUCAAAUGUAAUAUACUUCCAUUUGUUCUAUUAUGGAAAUUGUUUUUAAGUGAGUUUUCUUCUCUCAACUUUUUCCCCAUCCUCUUAAUUCGGGAAAGGAAAAUUGUAGCGAAAUGGGUUUUGGCUGGUGAUUUUCAUCCUUGGAGGGAUAUGAUUUUAUUUAAGGUGUCACCUUGCUAAAUUUCAUCCCACAGAGUUGAUCAUUCUUAUAUUUUUUCCUUAUAUCAAAAUCAGAGAUUUGCAUCGUCAAAUUGCCAUCCUUUGGCCUAUCGUUUAAGAGGUUUGUAAAUUCUGUUGAACGAAGAAUAUAAACAUCUUAACUGUGUUUUACACGAUUCAAAUGGUUCUUUGGACAGAGUCACUAAGCUCAGUGGAGUUGUUAGUGUUGUCGUUGUUAUUGUUGCCACUGCUGUUGUUCUGGGAGGUACCAGAUACAAAGCGCAUGGAAGAUCCUCAGAUGUAGAACAGGGUUUAGAGCACAGAGGCCCUGGCAUGGUUUUUUUAGGACACAUUAUAGCUUCAGGAGUCUCUGGCCCUGUGCCGUUCCUGUUGGCAUGCCUUGUAACAAACCAUUCUAGGAGGGCCUUGUGGGAGGGAUCAGUUGUUGCACAUGAAAAAAGGGCUUCUAGACAACGGGCUGGCACCAAGGCACAUUGAUGGUGAUCAGCAACUUGAGUUAGGAAAAGGAAUAGCUUUUGUAUCUCCUUUUUUUCCUUUCUCCUGCAUGCAAUUUUAAUUCCUGCUAUUUCCAGCCUCAUUUGUCUGUUGUCACCUGACUCUGUGUUUGGGGACACAGCUCUGAGUCUGGGAUGGCCCAUGACCUCUUGUGAGAGCAUCAAAGAACGGAUGAAAGAAGAUAAGGCCCCUCGUGGUCUCGGCUCUGCCCUUCCUUCAUUCCCUUUCCCAAACUAAAAGUAAACAUCCUACUUGCAGAGGCUUUGCAAAUACACCGUGUCAUCCAGGUAACAAGAGACUACCUCACAGUUUUCUCGCUUGGAUGAUAUAUUUUUUAAAAAAAAUAAAUAUCCUAUUUAUGUAGGUUUUUGAGAUUUUCUAUCUCAAGAGGCAUAUUUAAUUGGAAAUUGAUCUUUAAUGCCAUAGAAUGUUAAUGCACGGGGAUGUCACAGCUUCUUCGAUGUAGAUUACAGCAUUGUCGGCAUUAGCCACCUGACAUCCACUUCUUAGGAGAACAAUUGAAAAUAUCAGUGUUAACAUCAAUAAAGAUGACUUAUUAGCACAA